ACGGGAGGCAGCAGUGGGGAAUCUUCCGCAAUGGGCGCAAACCUGACGGAGCAACGCCGCGUGAAUGAAGAAGGUCUUCGGAUCGUAAAGUUCUGUUGAUAGGGACGAGAGAUGAUUUCAGGAAAUGGGAGUCAGAGGACGGUACCUAUCGAGGAAGCCACGGCUAACUACGUGCCAGCAGCCGAGGUAAUACGUAGGUGGCGAGCGUUGUCCGGAAUUAUUGGGCGUAAAGGGAGCGCAGGUGGGACUUCAAGUCAGUCUUAAAAGUGCGGGGCUCAACCCCAUGAUGGGAUGUAAACUGUAGUUCUUGAGUGCAGGAGAUGAAAGCGGAAUUCCUAGUGUAGCGGUGAAAUGCGUAUAUAUUAGGAGGAACACCAGUGGCGAAGGCGGCUUUCUGGACUGUAACUGACACUGGGGCUCGAAAGCGUGGGGAGCGAACAGGAUUAGAUACCCUGGUA
This 458-nucleotide ribosomal RNA is filed under the name uncultured Anaerovibrio sp. RNAcentral's name for it is "partial 16S ribosomal RNA". It matches the Rfam family "Bacterial small subunit ribosomal RNA", at positions 341 to 792 of the family's 1533-position model. The record is from RNAcentral. Lineage: Bacteria; Bacillati; Bacillota; Negativicutes; Selenomonadales; Selenomonadaceae.